Molecule: ribosomal RNA, 1008 nt
Filed under: Triticum aestivum (bread wheat)
Lineage: Eukaryota; Viridiplantae; Streptophyta; Magnoliopsida; Poales; Poaceae
Description: partial small subunit ribosomal RNA
Source: RNAcentral
UACGAAGAUGAAAGACAUACCUCGACCCUCGCAGACGGAUAACCUGCGGGCUUCUCGCAGUCCAAAUUAGGAACCAUACUUCUACUUCUACUGCUUAAUGCCGCGGGGUGAACCCGAAUGUUCACCCUACACCAAAGGCUCUACUGCUUGCUACAGUUAGAGUACAUGGUCUUCAUGCAACGGCUCAACCUGUGCUAAUGCGGACUCGUCCACCUUACCGUCGGUAUACCGCGGCUACUGUCUGAACCCAUGUGGGGCCUCAAAUGGUAGUUGGGCUACACGAACGCCCUAUCCCUAGAGACCGCAUACGCCACGGGUGACUAUACGUUGACCCGACAACUCAAAGUAAACGGUGUAGCGCACAGAGCAGUCAAACCAGACAAGGUCGGAGUGGGCGGCCUUACCCACCUAUGCCUGUUUCGUGAAGUAUCCAACCUGUCCUCUUCCGUCGCCUUCUAUUUCCUGACCCUGUUCGUAGUACGAAGCAUACAAUGGGCGAAGGUCGAAACACACCUCCUUCGAGCAUCGUCACGUGCGCGGUUCGAAGCACUCGUAACAGGUGAACGAAAACUAUUGAUGUAUGCUACCGAAGAACUUUUAUGAGCUCAACUCUAUACGGGCGGCCGUAUAUUACUCCUAUAAGAACUUCUUGGGCAUUUGAAACUCCUAGAUAGUUUCCCCUUCAUGUUGUCUCUACAGUCCCAUCCCGUGCCUCAGGGACGACAAGGCCACUAAUUGAUACACGCGUGACUCUAGUUCUUUCGUCGACUACUCUCGGUCAGAUAAGACCUCCUUUGUGGCCAACCUUUUCCGUUACUACUACCAGGUGAUGCUCGUAAGGAGUUCGCAGUCCGGUCCUUCAAUUCCGCCAAUAGCUUAGAAGAGCCAACAGCACUAGGGCUUUAACUACUUGGUAGACGGAGAUCCAGACCAUGUGGUAGUCUGGGGAGUAAAGUGGUAGUCUCCCUGCUACACUCAAGGAGUAUACGAAUAGUCCUACUACUCCCA